UACGUAGGGUGCAAGCGUUGUCCGGAAUUACUGGGCGUAAAGCGUGCGCAGGCGGUGAUGUAAGACAGAUGUGAAAUCCCCGGGCUCAACCUGGGAACUGCAUUUGUGACUGCAUCGCUGGAGUGCGGCAGAGGGGGGAUGGAAUUCCGCGUGUAGCAGUGAAAUGCGUAGAUAUGCGGAGGAACACCGAUGGCGAAGGCAAUCCCCUGGGCCUGCACUGACGCUCAUGCACGAAAAGCGUGGGGAGCAAACAGG
This 255-nucleotide ribosomal RNA is filed under the name uncultured bacterium. Its description in RNAcentral is "partial 16S ribosomal RNA". It matches the Rfam family "Bacterial small subunit ribosomal RNA", at positions 524 to 776 of the family's 1533-position model. The record is from RNAcentral.